AAGACUAUAGACCUGCGGAGUACCUGCGGAAGGAUCAUUACCGAGUUUACCAACUCCCAAACCCCAUGUGAACCUACCGUCUCCCGUUGCUUCGGCGGUGCCGCCCCGGGCGCGGGCCUCCCAGAGGCCGCCAGCCCCGGAACCAGGCGCCCGCCGGAGGACCCCCAAACCUCCUGCAUCACAACAGUGGCUUCUUUCUGAGUAGCGCUCUCGCGAGCGGAUAAGCAAAAUGAAUCAAAA
Molecule: unclassified non-coding RNA, 240 nt
Filed under: soil metagenome
Description: partial contains 5.8S ribosomal RNA, internal transcribed spacer 2, and large subunit ribosomal RNA
Source: RNAcentral